Balaenoptera acutorostrata (minke whale) is the source of this 770-nucleotide long non-coding RNA. RefSeq lists it as uncharacterized. NCBI's taxonomy places the organism in Eukaryota, Metazoa, Chordata, Mammalia, Artiodactyla, Balaenopteridae. The record is from RefSeq and is a predicted model, not a curated record. The transcript is spliced from 3 exons.
GAUUUCUAAAACGUAUUCAUUAAAAAUUAUAUUUAGGGGACUUCCCUGGUGGCUCAGCGGUUAAGAAUCCGCCUGCCAAUGAAGGGGACACGGGUUCGAUCCCUGGUCCGGGAAGAUCCCACAUGCCACACAGCAACUAAGCCCGUGCGCCACAACUACUGAGCCUGCGCUCUGGAGCCCAUGAGCCACAACUACUGAGCCUGCGUGCCACAGUUACUGAAGCCCGCGUGCCUAGAGCCUGUACUCUGCAACAAGAGAAGCCACCUCAAUGAGAAGCCCAUGCACUACAACGAAGAGUAGCCCCCACUCGCUGCAACUAGAGAAAGCCCGAGCGCAGCAACGGAGACCCAAAGCAGCCAAAAGUAAAUAAAUUAAAAAAAAAAAAAAGACUGAGGGACAGCAUCCGAAAAAGCCUGGCAUUGAGAGAGACCCUUGGUUCCUGGGGAAUUGACAAUACUUCAGCCUUUCUAUCUGCAGCCUGGAGGGAGCAAUGGGGGAGGAGGAGGUAGUGUGGUGCAGUCCUUUAUUAGAGCAGAAAACUCCUAAGCCACUUGUACCCUACUUACGGAAACUGGAAACAUUGGAAAGGAACAAAAAGCUUCUGAGCAGGCAAAGGAACAAAGAAGUACAAGAUGUACGCCAACACUUCACACGUUGGUGCCACCCGACACAACCUCUCAAUUAGCAGAUGCCACAGAUGAGGUCCUGAGAGUGGGACCCUCAUGACGGGAUUAGUGCCCUUAUAAGAAGAGACACCAGAGAGCUUGCUU